Molecule: microRNA precursor, 60 nt
Filed under: Lepisosteus oculatus (spotted gar)
Lineage: Eukaryota; Metazoa; Chordata; Actinopteri; Semionotiformes; Lepisosteidae
Description: Loc-Mir-103-P2_pre stem-loop
Rfam family: mir-103/107 microRNA precursor family
About the family: This family consists of the mammalian microRNA (miRNA) precursors mir-103 and mir107. Animal miRNAs are transcribed as ~70nt precursors and subsequently processed by the Dicer enzyme to give a ~22nt product. In this case the mature sequence comes from the 3' arm of the precursor.
Source: RNAcentral
AGCUUCUUUACAGUGCUGCCUUGUAGAAUCCUUAUCAAGCAGCAUUGUACAGGGCUAUGA